ACUCAAAUGAAUUGACGGGGGCCCGCACAAGCGGUGGAGCAUGUGGUUCAAUUCGACGCAACGCGAAGAACCUUACCUGGGCUCGAACGGCUGGUCAACGCCGGUGGAAACAUCGGUACCCCGCAAGGGGGUCCAGUCGAGGUGCUGCAUGGCUGUCGUCAGCUCGUGUCGUGAGAUGUUGGGUUAAGUCCCGCAACGAGCGCAACCCUUGUCCUGUGUUGCCAUGUCGAAAGACGGAACUCGCAGGAGACCGCCAGGGAUAACCUGGAGGAAGGUGGGGAUGACGUCAAGUCCUCAUGGCCUUUAUGUCCAGGGCUACACACGUGCUACAAUGGACGGUACAAAGCGCAGCAAACCCGCGAGGGGGAGCCAAUCGCAAAAAACCGUUCUCAGUUCGGAUUGCAGGCUGCAACUCGCCUGCAUGAAGCUGGAAUCGCUAGUAAUGGCAGAUCAGCACGCUGCCGUGAAUACGUUCCCGGGCCUUGUACACACCGCCCGU
This 499-nucleotide ribosomal RNA is filed under the name uncultured bacterium. RNAcentral's name for it is "partial 16S ribosomal RNA". It matches the Rfam family "Bacterial small subunit ribosomal RNA", at positions 899 to 1397 of the family's 1533-position model. The record is from RNAcentral.